UAGCGUAUAUUAAAGUUGUUGCAGUUAAAAAGCUCGUAGUUGAAGUUCUGGCUGCUCGGGUCCUCAGCCUAAGGCGGGGAUACCGACAGUCAUCCGCUUGCAAGCAUAUGUUCGGCCUUAAACAGCUGGCUAUGUGAGUAAGCAAUUUACCUUGAGAAAAACAGAGUGUUCCAGGCAGGUUUGUCCGGGAUGCAUUAGCAUGGAAUAAUAGAACAUGACUGAAGUCUAUUGAUUGGUUUAAGGCUUUAGUAAUGAUUAAUAGGAACAGUCGGGGGCAUUCGUACUCAGCAGUC
This 293-nucleotide ribosomal RNA is filed under the name uncultured Pseudovorticella. RNAcentral describes it as "partial small subunit ribosomal RNA". It matches the Rfam family "Eukaryotic small subunit ribosomal RNA", at positions 595 to 906 of the family's 1831-position model. The record is from RNAcentral. Lineage: Eukaryota; Ciliophora; Oligohymenophorea; Sessilida; Vorticellidae.